Molecule: unclassified non-coding RNA, 117 nt
Organism: Macaca fascicularis (crab-eating macaque)
Lineage: Eukaryota; Metazoa; Chordata; Mammalia; Primates; Cercopithecidae
Rfam family: Metazoan signal recognition particle RNA
About the family: The signal recognition particle (SRP) is a universally conserved ribonucleoprotein. It is involved in the co-translational targeting of proteins to membranes. The eukaryotic SRP consists of a 300-nucleotide 7S RNA and six proteins: SRPs 72, 68, 54, 19, 14, and 9.
Source: Ensembl
GCCAGGCACGGUGGUUCGUGCCUGUAAUCCCAGCACUUUGGGAGGCUGAGGUGGGUGGAUCACCUGAGGUCAGGAGUUCAAGACCAGCCUGGCCAACACGGUGAAACCCCAUCUCUA